Molecule: ribosomal RNA, 933 nt
Filed under: uncultured bacterium
Lineage: Bacteria
Description: bacterial SSU rRNA
Rfam family: Bacterial small subunit ribosomal RNA
Source: RNAcentral
CACAUGCAAGUCGAGGGGCAGCAUCAUCAAAGCUUGCUUUGAUGGAUGGCGACCGGCGCACGGGUGAGUAACACGUAUCCAACCUGCCGACAACACUGGGAUAGCCUUUCGAAAGAAAGAUUAAUACCGGAUGGCAUAAUUAUUCCGCAUGGGAUAAUUAUUAAAGAAUUUCGGUUGUCGAUGGGGAUGCGUUCCAUUAGGCAGUUGGCGGGGUAACGGCCCACCAAACCUACGAUGGAUAGGGGUUCUGAGAGGAAGGUCCCCCACAUUGGAACUGAGACACGGUCCAAACUCCUACGGGAGGCAGCAGUGAGGAAUAUUGGUCAAUGGACGAGAGUCUGAACCAGCCAAGUAGCGUGAAGGAUGACUGCCCUAUGGGUUGUAAACUUCUUUUAUACGGGAAUAAAGUUAGCCACGUGUGGCUUUUUGUAUGUACCGUAUGAAUAAGGAUCGGCUAACUCCGUGCCAGCAGCCGCGGUAAUACGGAGGAUCCGAGCGUUAUCCGGAUUUAUUGGGUUUAAAGGGAGCGUAGGCGGGUUGUUAAGUCAGUUGUGAAAGUUUGCGGCUCAUCCGUAAAAUUGCAGUUGAUACUGGCGACCUUGAGUGCAACAGAGGUAGGCGGAAUUCGUGGUGUAGCGGUGAAAUGCUUAGAUAUCACGAAGAACUCCGAUUGCGAAGGCAGCUUACUGGAUUGUAACUGACGCUGAUGCUCGAAAGUGUGGGUAUCAAACAGGAUUAGAUACCCUGGUAGUCCACACAGUAAACGAUGAAUACUCGCUGUUGGCGAUAUACGGUCAGCGGCCAAGCGAAAGCAUUAAGUAUUCCACCUGGGGAGUACGCCGGCAACGGUGAAACUCAAAGGAAUUGACGGGGGCCCGCACAAGCGGAGGAACAUGUGGUUUAAUUCGAUGAUACGCGAGGAACCUUACCCGG